UCGGGAAUUUUGGGCAAUGGGCGAAAGCCUGACCCAGCAACGCCGCGUGAGGGAUGAAGUAUUUCGGUAUGUAAACCUCGAAAGAAUGGGAAGAAUAAAUGACGGUACCAUUUAUAAGCUCCGGCUAACUACGUGCCAGCGGCCGCGGUAAUACGUAGGGAGCAAGCGUUGUUCGGAUUUACUGGGCGUAAAGGGCGCGUAGGCGGCGCGGUAAGUCACUUGUGAAAUCUCUGAGCUUAACUCAGAACGGCCAAGUGAUACUGCUGUGCUAGAGUGCGGAAGAGNCAACCGGAAUUCUUGGUGUAGCGGUGAAAUGCGUAGAUAUCAAGAGGAACACCUGAGGCGAAGGCGGGUUGCUGGGCCGACACUGACGCUGAUGCGCGAAAGCCAGGGGAGCAAACG
Molecule: ribosomal RNA, 402 nt
Filed under: uncultured bacterium
Lineage: Bacteria
Description: bacterial SSU rRNA
Rfam family: Bacterial small subunit ribosomal RNA
Source: RNAcentral